GAGCAGGUCAGGUAACGGAGCUUUGAGCCUCUGAAAGGGCAUCUGGAUAUUUGGGAGGGUAUAAGUAGCUUUGUAGAAGCAUCAUCUCUGAAAGCCAGGAUGAUGAUGCCAUUCUUCCCUGAGCUGUAGGAGGAGAUCAGGCUGUCGUCUCGCAUGGAGUUCCCCCAUUCUCACUUCUUGGCUCUAGUCACUUCUUGGCUCUUGGUAGUUUGUUGUUCCUUUCAGGUAGGCAAGAGGGUUUGGUUGUUGUGAUGUUGAUCUCCUUUGUGUUCGCCGGGGAGAUGGCGUUUGCAUCUCAUCUUGCUGCUGCUGCGUGUUGAUGCAGUUUGAUUGUAUGCGUUGUAUCCAGGCAAAUAAAUCUUUGAUGAGCUUAUUUCUGUCUCCUUUAAUAAAUCUCCUUUUUGUAGCGCGUGGAGUGCGUGGCCGGGUCGGCCAGCGUGUCUGUGUGCGGUCUUUUUAUUUGCGCCAUGAACAUUGUAACGGUUUUCGCUCGGUUUUUCCGUUUAAUUAACUGGCCAAUUUAUUUCUUCUUGAUCAAUGGAUUGAGUCUUCAGACUCCGGUUUGAAAAAAAAAAUCUUUGAUGACACAUGAAUGGUCGUGUUUCUUCUUUCGCUCUGUCUUUGACUGUAAAUCACCUCGGGAAAUACAAAUGUUCAACUUACAGACUGCUAUUCCGUUAUGCCACUAAUGGGCGUUUUGGAAACAAAAAGAUAUGUAAAUGUUCGACUCGAGAGAUGCAAUGUGUAUUUCUGGAUGGGCUCAUGAUUCUGGAGUCUGAACUUUAGGUUCAGGGGCAUCUCAUUGGAUAAGUUUCGGAUCCAGGACCGGUUUCUGAAUAAAAAACUCUAAUGCCAAGGAGCAGUUAAGACUUCAUGUUGGUUUAUUUUCCUAUAAUCUCGAUCAAACUUUAAGAAGGUGACUUCAUACAAAUCUAGAACUUAUUACGGAACGGAGGCAGCGAUAGAUUUAGAAAAAUUCAGAUGCACGAAUUGGGCUGCACCAAACAAGCGGCCCAGGCAAGUCUGGCGGCCUUGUUCCCUAGGGACGGCCCUGGUUAUGGACAGGGCGGCCCGCGUGGAGUACUCAUCCGCUACAGAUCAGCCGGCGGUGAGCGUCGCGCCGCCGCGCGUGCCAUACACGAACUGCCGCAGGACUCGGAGCAGCUCGUCGGCGGCCUUGCCCCACGGCUCGUAGACGAAGAAGGCGUGCCCCUGCCCAACAACAAACUCUGUUUUUCUAAAAAUACUCUGUUUUUUUUAAAAAAAAACAAGUAGGAGCUGUACUUCUGUACCUAAUAAUAAAAGCAGUAGUUGGUUUUCGUCCGUUUUUUGGGCCGGCCUUUUCUUUCCGGGCCAAGUCCACCUCCUGCGCCUCCUUCCUCUCUCUGCAUCGCCAAGCCAACCAGCUUCCUGCCUCUCUGCAUUGACGGCGCCGACGACCGCAUCGUCGUCUGGAUUGCCAGGAUUGUUUCCGUCGUCCGUCCGCCUGGUACGUCCGCGAGCCACCCCGCACCCCUCAUCCGGUCCUCCCCCCUCCUCUCGCAUCCUCCGGUCGCGGUGUUCCAGCUGGCGUUGCAGACAGAGACGCAGUCGACGGACCGGCCGACGAUGCAUGAGGUGGUGCACGUCCUGUACUGCCUCGUGCAUCCCGACCCGCCGCCGAAGCUUAUGCAGCCGCCUCUGCUGUCGUCCUCCUCGCUGCAGCCAGCGGCCGUCCUGGAUCUGGAGGCACAGCGUCGCUGGAGCAGGAGGGCGCCGAGGUGGAUAAGGUGAGGGUUUGCAGUUUGGCUGUCCUAUGGUGCGGCAUAGGAACAUAGCUUAUUGUCAGCAUUUGACUUAUUUACAGCAACAUAGCAAGGUAUUGUCAGCAUUGCUCCUUUUACAUACUUAUACCUGAGGUGAAGAUUGAUACCACAACCACCUUUCUGGUGCAGCAUUGAUGAUAUAGAUGAGGCUGUUCUAGGACCUGGUAGAUUUGGGAAGAAGCAUUUUGUUCCUUUUACCUUGUGCUGAUGGGAAUGCACAUGCUGAGAAAAAAACUGUCUCUGACGGUGUUGAUUUGGAUGCACUUGCACGUCGAGAGGAGUGCAAUAAUCUCACAAUGCACACCUAGCUUUACUGGUUAUUCACUGUUUUUAAAUUGAAUGGCUGCUCUGUCUUAAUUUGCCGAAAUCUGAUAUUUUGCUUACUUGUGUAAUCUGUGGCCAGGAAAUCCUAAGACAUGAUUGAUAAUUGGUUCAAUCCACUAGAGUAAACUAAGCUUGUAUCGUUAUGUCAUUAUGGAUUGCACCGUUUUUGUCCUCUGUUAAUUAGCUGAAGUAUAAUAACUAGCAAGAAGUUUUCUUGAUCUCUGUUUGUUGCAUGGUGGUGUACUAUGUUAGUCUCAUGGUGUACUGUGGAGUGUUUGUUGCAUGGUGGUGUACUAUGUUAGCUCAUGGUGUACUGUUGGAGUAUAAUACCUAGGCCGUGGCAACGCAAGGGUAUCUUUACUAGUAAUGUCCGAUGGCCCAAUGCCCUCGAUAGUUCUCGACGUCCUUCCGUUGACAAGUCAGUAAUCUGCUUUUACUUGCACAAGCCAUUGCCACGAGGAGAGCGCAAAGCAGCACAGUACAGACUCCAGAGUCCAAGCAAGAAAUUUAGCACGACGAGGUCGAGAAUUCGAGAUCGAGAAAACCAUGGCAUCAAUGCCUCCAGCUCCCUCCUCUCAUCCGGACAACGCAGCGCCGGCAUGCCGCAGGUGCUCAGCGACGGCACAAUCGUCCGUCCCCCGCCGCCGCCCUUCUUUGGCUCCGCGACCAGCUACAAAAGAUCACAUAUUGGAACGACAGCACAGCUUUUUAAUCCUUGCGCAAGUCGAUGGGAAGGGCCAAAUAAAGAGAUCUGAACUUCAACCAUUCCUCGCCAGGCCCAAGAAUGUUGUAUGCUCUCUGCAGCAUGUCGUCACGCGCCAAGUCAGGCAUCUCAUGUAGCGUCGACGCCAACGCCUCUUCAGGGGAGGCCAUGGGCGUCAAGCCUGAUGAGCUUGGUUUCUUUGGUGCUCCAAGAGUAUCGUCUUCACGUCGCCAUUGCCUUUGGCUCGCCGCCGUACGUUCGUCGUGGGAGAAGGCGUUGAAAUGCGUUCGUCGUGGGAGGAGGCAGAGCUGGGCCUCCAUCGCCGCCCUUUCCCCUUCCUCCCCGUCGUCGUCGUCCCUGAAACAGCGAUCGAGCGCCGCCGCCAUCUUGUCUUGUUCGCGGCGCAGGAGCGUCGUGGAUCUCGAAUCCAUGUAGCGCUGCUCCUUCUUCUUCCGCCCCCACUGGUCCUCUCGCUCGGCGUGGUAGCAAGGGGGCAACAACGACAGCGACGGCGGCCGAGCGGGCGCUGUACACGAAGAAAUCGACCGUGCAGCCCAUGUCUGGAGGAGGACGGAGUCGCCGUGGGCCGCCAAGACGAGCGUUUCGACCUUGAUCCCGUGCGGGUAGUCGACGACAGCGCCGGCGGAGACCCGGGCGAGGUGGCCGCUGGAGACGCGGGCGUCGGGAUCAUCGCACCGCCGGUACUGCUCGAGCAGAAGCGGCCGGCCAAGGAUCGCCAUCGGGUGGUGGUUCCUGGUGAUCCGGUCGGGUUUUCAUGUCCCGCAGGUUCGAUUUGUUGGGGAUCGCGCCGUAUUUCUAUCGGCUCGCUCAUCUGAUUUGUUGGAGGAGAACGAGCCUAAUUUGCUGGGAAAUCGGUACGAGUACGAUCGAGUUUGUUGCCUUCCAGGCGAGGAAAAGGCGUGCUAAGUAGAGCUCUUAUUUAGGUGUAUUUUUUAGAAACAAAACAGAGUACUAUCUUUUUUGACAAUUAGAAAACAGAGUAUAUAUACUCGUACAUCCCAACUGCUAAAACCCCCAAUUUACGGACUCGUUUCUUUUUUGUUUACUAGAGUACCCUUUGUGAAGAAACCUAUAUUGCGUAUGCCUUGUUUGGUUUGAGCAGGCCCUGUUUGCUGCGGAAUGGAUAAACGAAUCCAGGUAUUGCAGGUUUGAAGUGAACUGAGCAAAUCAUGUUAUGGUAAGGAGGGAGGCCGAGGGGCGCGUGACGGUGCCGUCCUUUUUUUUGCGUAUGCCUUGUUGGUUUGAGCAGGUGACGGUGCUCGGUUCGAUCCGUGUAUGGUUACAACUUAGAACUGUUUGAAGGCUUGCGUUGGAACGCAGAUAUUUCACUGGAAUUCAACACAAAAGAGUUUAGUUUUAUGCUAGAGAGGAGAUCGUCGAGGGCGUGGCCAUUGAGCUGAUUAUUGAUUCUUGCCUUGAUUGCUGCGACUGAUUGUCCGACCGGAGAGCCAACGAAGGAUAGAGGCAGACGCAUUAUCGAGACGUCAGGCUAAACAGGCCUCCUCAAGCGCACCAACCUCGAAAUGGGGUUCCCUUCAGAAAAGGAAAAAAACCUCAAAAUGGGCCCUGAAAGGCCCAACUGAGCUUUAAUGAAGCUUUGCGAGCCUGCCGAGCCCAACCGUGUGAUCAAGUAACCCCAGGUAAGCAGGAUGUUGGAGUUGGAACUCUAAAAAAAAAAAGAUAAGCAGGAAUUUUGGCUCAUGUACUAUUGUGUAUACAUACAUACGCUGUCUUCAUUCUUCGACAUAGCGAGAGGGAUUGCCCUUCAACAUAUAUAUACAUGUACUUGUCUCGUCUGCUAGCUUAAUUAGUUAUUGCUGAUUCCCUGCCGACAUAUCCACCGUUUGUCUCUGAAGAGAUCUUCUAUAGCUACUCUAGUGACAUUGUCAAAUGGAAAAUGGAAAUCGGUGCAUGUCCUCAUUGGGUAACAUAUAUACUUACUCCCUUGCUAAGGUUCAACUCACUGGCAGUCUGGCAUGUGCACUGAUCACACGAGUAAUAUGGAAAUAGUUAAUCAAGAUUAAUUAGCCAAGUCAGCACUCUUACCUGUUGUUUUAAAGUAACACUUGCUUUGUCUUUACAUGGUACAAGUCAAAAGAAAUUGGACUCUGCUAGUCUAGGGACAAAGAAUCAAUCUUCAGUUCGUCACUUAGUGUGGAGUGUUGACCCAGGAGCAGAAUUGUCUUGACAUGAACAUUGCGUCCGGAUUGAGAAGUCAACCUCUACUAGUACUUACAGAGUUAUUUUACCUCAAGUUGUGGACAAACAAAUGUAAAUCGAAGGGACUAGGUGCGGCCACGAAGAUCACUGAAGAACAGGGUAAAUACGGAGGACACAAGUAUUCUAUAAAAAAAGAAUGUGGAGGACACCAGAUCCAUGUUACCCCUGCAAUUAAGAACUUUAUUUUCCCGAUAAAAAAAAGAACUAUUCCAGUAAAGAACUAAAUUGUUGGACCGUUGAUCCAGGAGCAGAAUUGUUGCAGUGAUUGCAAAAUAAAUAAAUUUUCUUCAUAUAUGUUAAUGUUACGGAGUACUAUUUGAUAACCUGCUCUUGACUUUUCUCUACUAGUAGUUACAGAGUUACAGUAUAACCGUGUGCAGAGGCUGAGGAGUUUUCUCCUUUUCUAUUUUUUUCCCCUCCAACCCAUAUUAAUUGUCGCAAAUUUAGUAAAAAGUUGUACUAAAUAAACGGCAAGUAAUAUGGGUCGGACGAAGUACAGUUAUUUCUCAGUUGUCUUAGAAAUAGCAAGACUGUAUAAAUAUUGUCACAUGGCAAUUCCUAAAAAGGAAAACAUUUUUUUUCUUUUCCAUUGCGGCAACGUCGCCAUUUUCCUCCGCCCAUGGCUCCAUUUCUGCCAGCAUUGCAACCUCUGUUGCCGAUGAGGCGAGGGUUCUUCCGGAAAAUAAUCUUAAGAGACCUGGUCUCUCGAGAGGCCCUCUGCAUGUUAUGCCAUGUGGACUGAUUAGCCUUUAAACAAAUCUCAAAGCAUCAGGAGUGAAAAAAUAAUAAUCAUGAUUAUAAUGCAGUGAAUUUCUCACGUGACACAAGAUGGACGCGGUCUUUCAGCUUGGACUUAUUUCUGUGCCACUUGGGCUUAGAGAGAUAUAGUGGCAUUUAUUAUCAAGAAGUAUACCAAAAUUUUUAUAAUAAAAUACACGCGAAAGAACAAGACACAAGAAGCUACAGAAGCUACUCGCUCCGGUUCACAAAAAAGCGCGAAAAAAGUGACGUUUGACACAUGUCUAUCCUCUUUGUCAACCUUUAAAACUUUGACUGUCGACAUCAUUAUAAAAGUUGAUUGAAGACUCAGAAAUCACAUGUACAGUAUAAACCUGUCUCAAAA
Molecule: long non-coding RNA, 6196 nt
Filed under: Brachypodium distachyon (stiff brome)
Lineage: Eukaryota; Viridiplantae; Streptophyta; Magnoliopsida; Poales; Poaceae
Description: long non-coding RNA (BDIS_LNC001125)
Source: RNAcentral